Molecule: ribosomal RNA, 1293 nt
Filed under: metagenome
Description: SSU rRNA
Rfam family: Eukaryotic small subunit ribosomal RNA
Source: RNAcentral
UCUGGUUGAUCCUGCCAGUAGUCAUAUGCUUGUCUCAAAGAUUAAGCCAUGCAUGUCUAAGUAUAAAUAGUAUACAGUGAAACUGCGAAUGGCUCAUUAAAACAGUUAUAGUUUAUUUGAUAAUUGACAAUUACAUGGAUAACCGUGGUAAUUCUAGAGCUAAUACAUGCUUAAACGCCCGACUUUAUGGAAGGGUGGUAUUUAUUAGACUGAAGCCAAUAUUCCUUGUGUCUAUUGCGGUGAUUCAUAAUAACUGAUCGAAUCUCUUUUUUAGAUAAAUCAUUCAAGUUUUCUGCCCUAUCAGCUUUCGAUGGUAGUGUAUUGGACUACCAUGGCAGUAACGGGUAACGAAGAAUUAGGGUUCGAUUUCGGAGAGGGAGCAUGAGAAACGGCUACCACAUCUAAGGAAGGCAGCAGGCGCGUAAAUUACCCAAUCCUGGCUCAGGGAGGUAGUGACAAGAAAUAGCAAACCGGGAACCUCAUGGUUUCACGGUAUUGCAAUGAGAACAAUUUAAAACCCUUAGCGAGAAUCAAGUGGAGGACAAGUCUGGUGCCAGCACCCGCGGUAAUUCCAGCUCCACUAGCGUAUAUUAAAGUUGUUGCAGUUAAAAAGCUCGUAGUUGAACCUCUGUCUGGGGCUAUUUUUGGCUUUGGUCAGGCUAGUUCUAGGCAUCCGCCUACAAGACUUAGAGGGCAUUCAGUUGUUCACUAGGAGGAGUAGGCAUUUUACUUUGAAAAAAUUAGAGUGUUUAAGGCAGGCAAUCGCCCGCAUAUAUUAGCAUGGAAUAAUAGAAUAGGACACUUUUCCAUUUCGUUGGUUAUUGGAAUCGUGUAAUGAUUAAUAGGGACAGUUGUGGGCAUUUGUGUUUAAUUGUCAGAGGUGAAAUUCUUGGAUUUAUUAAAGACAAACUAACGCGAAAGCAUUUGCCAAGGAUGUUUUCAUUAAUCAAGAACGAAAGUUAGGGGAUCAAAGACGAUCAGAUACCGUCCUAGUCUUAACUAUAAACUAUUCCGACUCAAUGUUUGACUGGCUUAUAUAACCAGUUGAGCGUUGUAUGAGAAAUCAAAGUCUUUAGGUUCUGGGGGGAGUAUGGUUGCAAAGCUGAAACUUAAAGGAAUUGACGGAAGAGCACAACCAGGAGUGGAUUCUGCGGCUUAAUUUGACUCAACACGGGGAAACUUACCAGGUUAAAACAAUAGUGGGAUUGACAGUUUGAGAGCGCUUUCUUGAUUGGUUGGGUGGUGGUGCAUGGCCGUUCUUAGUUGGUGGAGUGAUUUGUCUGCUUAAUAGCG